RNAcentral lists this ribosomal RNA (614 nucleotides) under Teratorhabditis synpapillata. Its description in RNAcentral is "partial 28S ribosomal RNA". It matches the Rfam family "Eukaryotic large subunit ribosomal RNA", at positions 337 to 965 of the family's 3401-position model. Lineage: Eukaryota; Metazoa; Nematoda; Chromadorea; Rhabditida; Rhabditidae. The record is from RNAcentral.
UUAUUUUACAAGUACCGUGGGGAAAGUUGCAAAGAACUUUGAAGAGAGAGUUCAAGAGUGCGUGAAACCACUGGAAUGGAAACAGACAGAGUUGACGAAACUCGUCGAUAUUCAGCUGAGCCUUCGGGCACGGUGUACUUGUCGGCGGUAUGCGCUGAGUCCGCUGUUGGUGUGCGUUGAGCGUCGCGGUGUUGCCCACUUGUGGUGUCUUGCCGCGGCGGGAGGCGUAUCGUCGGUAGCGCGAUUCGGUGUAGGCGUUGAUCACCUGUCUGACCCGUCUUGAAACACGGACCAAGGAGUCUACCGCAUGCGCGAGUCAUUGGGUUGUAAACCUAGAGGCGCAAUGAAAGUAAAGGUCGGCGUUCGCUCGGCUGAUAUGGGAUGCGUGUGCUUGUCAUGCGCCGCACCAUAGCCCCGUCUCGACGGCUUGCCGUGGGGCGGAGGUAGAGCGUAUGUGGUAGGACCCGAAAGAUGGUGAACUAUACGUGAGCAGGGCGAAGCCGGAGGAAACUCCGGUGGAGGUCCGUAACGAUUCUGACGUGCAAAUCGAUCGUCUGACUUGCGUAUAGGGGCGAAAGACUAAUCGAACCAUCUAGUAGCUGGUUCCUUCCGAA